UACAGAGGUCCCGAGCGUUGUUCGGAUUCAUUGGGCGUAAAGGGUGCGUAGGCGGCGGGGAAAGUCUGAUGUGAAAUCCUGGGGCUCAACCCUGGAACUGCAUUGGAUACUUCCUUGCUAGAGUACUGGAGAGGAAACUGGAAUUUACGGUGUAGCAGUGAAAUGCGUAGAGAUCGUAAGGAAGACCAGUGGCGAAGGCGAGUUUCUGGACAGUUACUGACGCUGAGGCACGAAGGCCAGGGGAGCAAACGGG
Molecule: ribosomal RNA, 253 nt
Filed under: uncultured bacterium
Lineage: Bacteria
Also listed under: 1 other name
Description: partial 16S ribosomal RNA
Rfam family: Bacterial small subunit ribosomal RNA
Source: RNAcentral